GUCCAGUGUGUUGGGUAGAGUCCAGUGUGUUGGGUAGAGUCCUGUGUGUUGGGUAGAGUCCAGUGUGUGGGUAGAGUCCAGUGUGUUGGGUAGAGUCCAGUGUGUUGGGUAGAGUCCAGUGUGUUGGGUCGAGUCCAGUGUGUGGGUAGAGUCCAGUGUGUUGGAUAGAGUCCAGUGUGUUGGGUAGAGUCCAGUGUGUUGGGUAGAGUCCAGUGUGUUGGGUAGAGUCCAGUGUGUUGGGUAGAGUCCUGUGUGUUGGGUAGAGUCCAAUGUGUUGGGUAGAGUCCAGUGUGUUGGGUAGAGUCCAGUGUGUUGGGUAGAGUCCAGUGUGUUGGGUAGAGUCCAGUUUGUUGGGUAGAGUCCAGUGUGUUGGGUAGAGUCCAGUGUGUUG
Molecule: long non-coding RNA, 391 nt
Organism: Oncorhynchus tshawytscha (Chinook salmon)
Lineage: Eukaryota; Metazoa; Chordata; Actinopteri; Salmoniformes; Salmonidae
Source: Ensembl